Paramuricea clavata is the source of this 568-nucleotide non-coding RNA. NCBI's taxonomy places the organism in Eukaryota, Metazoa, Cnidaria, Anthozoa, Malacalcyonacea, Plexauridae. The record is from the annotation of a GenBank genome assembly.
AAUACAAAGCUAGCUUAUUUCUGUAAUGACGAAGAAGGAGGUUUUUUAAUUCGGUGAGACUGGAUGCAUGUUUUAUAGAAUCAGGGAGCCUAUUACAUAUCUUAACUGUCCUGGGGAAAUAUGAAUUUAUAAAGUAAUUUUGGCGAUGGGAUGAAUAAAAGCGGUAAUUUGCCUCAUCAAAGUUUCGCGUAGCAUAGCCAGACGAAGCUGGUUGUAAUAAGUUCUGGAGGUUAGCGUUAAUGAGACCAGUCUUAGACUUAAAAAGGAGAAUUAGAUCUAUUGUUUCUCUGCGAUGUUCCAAUGGGAGUAUGUUCAGCAUGGCUAAUCUUUCCGUAUAGUUUAUGUUGCUUGGGUAGUCCAAAAUAAACUUUGUGGCACGACGCUGUAUAUUUUCGAUAAGUUUCUUGUGCUUUACUGUGUAAGGUGAACAUAGACUACUCGCGUACUCUAGUAGAGGUCUAACUAAUGACACGUAUAGGAGCAGUCUAAUGGAACGGUCGUGGAAGUCUUUGGAGACGCGUUUUACUAGGCCUAGAGUUUUGUUUGCCUUAGCGCACAUCUGUUCAAU